GACGAACGCUGGCGGCGUGCUUAACACAUGCAAGUCGAGCGGGUAAGGCCCUUUCGGGGGUACACGAGCGGCGAACGGGUGAGUAACACGUGGGUGACCUGCCCUCAGCUCUGGGAUAAGCCUGGGAAACCGGGUCUAAUACUGGAUAUGACUCCAUGACGCAUGUUGUGGGGUGGAAAGCCUUGUGCGGCUGAGGAUGGGCCCGCGGCCUGUCAGCUUGUUGGUGGGGUGANGGCCUACCAAGGCGACGACGGGUAGCCGGCCUGAGAGGGCGACCGGCCACACUGGGACUGAGACACGGCCCAGACUCCUACGGGAGGCAGCAGUGGGGAAUCUUGCGCAAUGGGCGAAAGCCUGACGCAGCGACGCCGCGUGAGGGAUGAC
RNAcentral lists this ribosomal RNA (384 nucleotides) under uncultured bacterium. RNAcentral's name for it is "bacterial SSU rRNA". It matches the Rfam family "Bacterial small subunit ribosomal RNA", at positions 28 to 412 of the family's 1533-position model. The record is from RNAcentral.